GAUGAACGCUGGCGGCGUGCCUAAUACAUGCAAGUCGAGCGAACAGACGAGGAGCUUGCUCCUCUGACGUUAGCGGCGGACGGGUGAGUAACACGUGGAUAACCUACCUAUAUGACUGGGAUAACUUCGGGAAACCGGAGCUAAUACCGGAUAAUAUAUUGAACCGCAUGGUUCAAUAGUGAAAGACGGUUUUGCUGUCACUUAUAGAUGGAUCCGCGCCGCAUUAGCUAGUUGGUAAGGUAACGGCUUACCAAGGCAACGAUGCGUAGCCGACCUGAGAGGGGGAUCGGCCACACUGGAACUGAGACACGGUCCAGACGCCUACGGGAGGCAGCAGUAGGGAAUCUUCCGCAAUGGGCGAAAGCCUGACGGAGCAACGCCGCGUGAGUGAUGAAGGUCUUCGGAUCGUAAAACUCUGUUAUUAGGGAAGAACAAAUGUGUAAGUAACUAUGCACGUCUUGACGGUACCUAAUCAGAAAGCCACGGCUAACUACGUG
This 497-nucleotide ribosomal RNA is filed under the name uncultured bacterium. Its description in RNAcentral is "partial 16S ribosomal RNA". It matches the Rfam family "Bacterial small subunit ribosomal RNA", at positions 28 to 507 of the family's 1533-position model. The record is from RNAcentral.